This 253-nucleotide ribosomal RNA is filed under the name uncultured bacterium. RNAcentral describes it as "partial 16S ribosomal RNA". It matches the Rfam family "Bacterial small subunit ribosomal RNA", at positions 524 to 776 of the family's 1533-position model. The record is from RNAcentral.
UACAGAGGGUGCGAGCGUUAAUCGGAAUUACUGGGCGUAAAGCGCGCGUAGGCGGCUUUGCAAGUCGGGUGUGAAAUCCCCAGGCUUAACCUGGGAACUGCAUUCGAGACUGCAUUGCUAGAGUAUGGGAGAGGGAAGUGGAAUUUCCGGUGUAGCGGUGAAAUGCGUAGAUAUUCGGAAGAACACCAGUGGCGAAGGCGACUUACUGGAUCAUGACUGACGCUGAGGCUCGAAAGCGUGGGGAGCAAACAGG